RNAcentral lists this ribosomal RNA (493 nucleotides) under uncultured bacterium. Its description in RNAcentral is "partial 16S ribosomal RNA". It matches the Rfam family "Bacterial small subunit ribosomal RNA", at positions 30 to 523 of the family's 1533-position model. The record is from RNAcentral.
AUUGAACGCUGGCGGCAUGCUUUACACAUGCAAGUCGAACGGUAACAGGUUAAGCUGACGAGUGGCGAACGGGUGAGUAAUGCAUCGGAACGUGCCCGAUCGUGGGGGAUAACGCGGCGAAAGCUGCGCUAAUACCGCAUACGAUCUGAGGAUGAAAGCGGGGGACCGUAAGGCCUCGCGCGACCGGAGCGGCCGAUGUCAGAUUAGGUAGUUGGUGGGGUAAAGGCCCACCAAGCCGACGAUCUGUAGCUGGUCUGAGAGGACGACCAGCCACACUGGGACUGAGACACGGCCCAGACUCCUACGGGAGGCAGCAGUGGGGAAUUUUGGACAAUGGGCGAAAGCCUGAUCCAGCAAUGCCGCGUGCAGGAAGAAGGCCUUCGGGUUGUAAACUGCUUUUGUACGGAGCGAAAAGGUCCUUUCUAAUACAAGGAGCUCAUGACGGUACUGUAAGAAUAAGCACCGGCUAACUACGUGCCAGCAGCCGCAGUAA